GUUCAAGUCAGAAGUGAGACAGCGUGGACCCAGUGUUUCAGGCCAGCUCUCACAAAAGACAAGGCUACCCCAACCCUCUUCUUCAUGGACAACUGCCACAAAAGGCACUGACUCCAGCAUCCUAAAGACACCACAAAUAAAGUGAAAAGAACAAGGCUGGGCAGGACAGAAGCCCUGGGUAGGCUAGCUGUUCCAUUCUAUGUUACCAUCAGCAACGUAUGAGAGAUACAGAAAAUGUGAAUUAAGGAGUCGUGGGCAUCUACUGAACUGAAACACCUGUGAAAAAGAAGGUACCUGGUGUCAGAAGAUGAUGGGGACCCAAGGACCUGGAACUGGUGUUGCCCAAAGUUACACACAUAGUCAUUAAGUUGAAUUACUGUUAUUAACUAGAGUUUAGAAACAAGGACUUCUGCCUCCAAUUAAUUUAUUGUACUGUUUGCAUUCUGUUUCUCUCAUUCAAAAAGUUCCGCAGUGCAAGAGCAUGUUAAGGAUUAUGUGCUUUUUAAUUAGUUGCAUUUUUUCUGCCUAUUUGGACAUUAAGUUCUUGAGCAAAAUGCUCAUUUGGGCAGUAAGUCCAUUAAAAGUCAAGCUGUUCUUUGGA
Marmota monax (woodchuck) is the source of this 601-nucleotide long non-coding RNA. RefSeq lists it as uncharacterized. Lineage: Eukaryota; Metazoa; Chordata; Mammalia; Rodentia; Sciuridae. The transcript is spliced from 6 exons. The record is from RefSeq and is a predicted model, not a curated record.